RNAcentral lists this small RNA (776 nucleotides) under Pongo abelii (Sumatran orangutan). RNAcentral's name for it is "retained intron". Lineage: Eukaryota; Metazoa; Chordata; Mammalia; Primates; Hominidae. The record is from RNAcentral.
GCUGUGGGGUCCCAAAAUCGUGACCCCAGCCCCUCUCCCCUCCUCCCCCACCAUCUCCCAUGUCAGGAUCAGUUCGAGGUGCUCGAGCGCCACACGCAGUGGGGGCUGGACCUGUUGGACAGAUAUGUAAAGUUCGUGAAAGAACGCACCGAAGUGGAACAGGCUUACGCCAAACAACUGCGGUGAGACCCCGGGGUGGACGCUACGGAGGACGCGCCUGGGGCGACGGGGAGCGGUGGGAGGGCUGCGGGCUCAGCCCUCCUACCUCUGUCUCCCCUUAGGAGCCUGGUGAAAAAAUAUCUGCCCAAGAGACCUGCCAAGGAUGAUCCUGAGUCCAAGUUCAGCCAGCAACAGUCCUUCGUACAGAUUCUCCAGGAGGUGAAUGACUUUGCAGGCCAGCGGGAGCUGGUGGCCGAGAACCUCAGUGUCCGUGUAUGUCUUGAGCUGACCAAGUACUCACAAGAGAUGAAACAGGAGAGGAAGAUGCACUUCCAAGAAGGGCGGCGGGCCCAGCAGCAGCUGGAAAACGGCUUCAAACAGCUGGAGAAUAGUAAGCGUAAAUUUGAGCGGGACUGCCGGGAGGCAGAGAAGGCAGCCCAGACUGCUGAACGGCUAGACCAGGAUAUCAACGCCACCAAGGCUGAUGUGGAGAAGGCCAAGCAGCAAGCCCACCUUCGGAGUCAUAUGGCUGAAGAAAGCAAAAACGAAUAUGCAGCUCAACUGCAGCGCUUCAACCGAGACCAAGCCCACUUCUAUUUUUCACAGAUGCCGCAGAU